GUCCGUCACGAGCGGCACCGCGGCCGCGUCAGUAGGUGCUCGUGACUUACGGUCGCCACACGGCACCAGCAAGCCCAGUGUGCAGCAACGCAACUACCAGUACUGCCAGUACGUGGACGUCCACGUUCCCCACCAAGCAGAUUUCCCCACCGUUUGCUUCCAACCCAAUCUGUCUGACCUUUGGCAGCGAGGCCCUGGAGCCAGAGCUCUGCGUUGUCAUGGUGAGCACCGUGGUGAUGCCAAGUCCCACUCUGGCCGGCGCCGCGUCCAUGUUGAUCCAAAACGACACCCAGGACAGGAUGACGGUGAGCAGGCUCGGUCGGGUUUCCAAAUGGAGUCCAGCAUGGAAGGGUCCAGGUCUAGAGAGUCAUCUGGAUAUUCCUUAUACGCCAGCCGAGGGUCGUUCCACUGCUGCCGAAGAAAUACAUUGAGGCGGUAGUCCUGCAGGAAGCAGUUACAGUAAGUCAAAGUGAUGGAGCCGAAGCUGUUGAUGAAGAUGUUGCAGGUGACGUUGACGGGAGGACCUGACAGGAGCAGAUGGACGUUAAACACGAUAGUUUUACUGCGCUCUUUAACGCUACUGACAGUGUUUGUCUAAGGAGGCUGCACGAAGAACAGAGCAUUCCCUCAAAUUAACAUCUGCUUGUUCCCUUCAUAAUGUGCCAUGCUGUGUCCUGAUUAAUACACGUACACAAGAUAACCAGCAUGAAAGUGUGUUGUUCCCAUUAGUGUGGUGCAUCUGUCAAGCACUGAAACUUUAAAUAUUUGAUCAACUCAUUUCCUAAGAGGCUAUAAUUUAUUGAUCUUUUCCUUUAGUUACAUUAGUGUAUUUAUAGAUAAUCAGCUGGGAUUCAGUCAGAAUACUCUGACAAGGAUGUGGAGCAAGUAUGAAAUAUAUAUGAAACGUGACCCCAGAGGCUGAGCGGGAAACAUGUCGGAGGGAAUCUGCUUUCUUUUGUCACAACCAGAGAUCAAGACUGGACGGAACUGGCCUGUGGGUAACAGACAGGGAUAAGUUGACAUUUCUGACAAAGUAAAAUGGGAUCUGAAGGACAGGUCUGUGUGAAAAUAUAGCCUGAGGCUGUGGGUCAGCAUCAAAACAGUAAUUACACAUGACCAAUAAAAGCGGGCUUCUGUGUGAAAACAUCGUCGCCCGCAGCGUCUCUCACUUCUGACCCAUCUGUGUGCGAUUAUUGCUGCCUCGCUGCCCAAAUUGUUGUGCAAAUUGAGCAGCGCGCCCUCCUCACACCUGUCCUGACAGAGGAGGUCCCGCCGUCACACACACACACACACACACACACACACACACACACACACACACACACACACACACACACA
Betta splendens (Siamese fighting fish) is the source of this 1338-nucleotide long non-coding RNA. RefSeq lists it as uncharacterized. The record is from RefSeq and is a predicted model, not a curated record. The transcript is spliced from 4 exons. Lineage: Eukaryota; Metazoa; Chordata; Actinopteri; Anabantiformes; Osphronemidae.